UUAUUUACAGACAACUUGGAAUUGACGGGUUUUCAGGACAAAAAUAUAUAAUGAGCUCCAGGCCUGUUCUGUUCAGAAUGAACCUUGCAAAUACAAAAUGUAGGUAACAUUUUCUAUUUCGCUUCCAGACCAAGAGUAACAAUACAGAAAUAUAACAGAGUACAUGUCUUAGGCCACACCAGCCAUGGAUUCAGGUUUAGAUGAGGAGAUAAUUACGAAGGAAGCAAAUCAUUUGAAAUACUAUCACAAACAGAAAAAAAUGUAACAAACAUUUUUCAAAAGGUUCCAACUAAAUGAAUGAAAUUGAAUAAAAACAGCACCGAUGUUUUAUAGAUUCAUGGAACAGCAGCCAAGCAAAACUUCCACAAAGGGUAUCAUGCUCCUUUGUUCUGAGGACAUGCAGCAUUUGUGUUCCUACUUCUGAACGAAACACAGGAGUACACAGGCGCAGAAUCGCCAUCACCUGUGCAAUCGCUUGGCACCAGUACAUGCUUCGCACCAGGAGUGAGCUUCACUGGGCCUGAUCUCUUCUGCACAUAGCGAACACUAGGCGAAGCAUUGGAAUUGCCAAGAACAGCGCUCCCCAUUCUGUUGUCUGUAUUUCUGGCCGAAAGGGUCAGAUCUCUUAUGCUGUUGGAAGUUGCUUGAACUACCUGGCCUGGAUAGUUGAAUGUAAAACCCAAUGAUGAGCUUGCUGAAUGCACAACAUGUUGCUGAGGCAAAUUGGCAUGGAAACCUGAAGAUGGUGCACCAUGCUGUCUGGUUGUAGGCAAAGGUGGUGCUGUGGGUGGUUCAGUUCUAGUGAUAGGAUCAGAAUAAUAACGGCGCGACGGGGAAUUCUGUUGGAAUGCUGCACUGCCAUGAUUGGGAGGAGGUUGGUAGCCCAAUAAAAAAGGCUGAUUGGUCUGCGAGUUUGAAAAAUCAACAAACCUGUUUUCAUAUGGCAACUGAUCUCCAGAAAGUACAUUAGCUGCAGGGAAAGGGUGGCUGUAAUCAUGUGUAGUCCGUGCCUGACUUGCGCUUGCAUGAUAUGUUGAAGCAUGAGUUAUACUGGUAGAAUUUACUGUAUCAUUGGGGAAAUUCUGAGCUUGUAAAGAGAGAAAAGGCCGUCCUUGUUGUGGCAAGAACACAUUUGCGUUCAGGUAGUCAUUGGUGAAAGUACCUGUAUGCUUGCGCGCAGUCUCGGAAAACGAUUCAGCUCUGGUCGUGCAAACUGGAAGAUCUUUACCCAUCAAACGAACUGUCUGUCCUGUGGAAGGUCCAUUCUCACUCGGCACGUUCAACUGAGAACGAAAAUUUAACUCCUUACUGUGUGACACAUUAGAUUCAUGAGAUGGCCCGGAAGAAAAUUUGCCGCUGGUGGAAAACCAACUCUGGUGCUGCCCAAAUGAAUCCUGAAAUGUAUGAUCUGGCAAUGCACAAGGGGACGUACUCAUAGUCAUAGUAUCUUUUACUGAAAUAUUACUGCAACCACGAUGAGUCUCAGCAAGUUCAGUUAAGCUCAAUGGAGGACCAGCAGCAUCUACAUCAGAAACUUUUAUCGCCUCACCAUGCAAAAAUGUGCCCGCCGAACUUGAAUUCGUUGUUCUUUCCAAGUCAGCACUAGAUUGUUCACUUUCCAGUCUGUGUGAAACAACAGAAAAAUUCAUCCGGUUUUCUCUCUCAUGAAGCAAUUGGACAUGAGAACUUAAAGUUUCCUCAUGUGUAUGCUCCAGAUUUGGCACCUCUGAAUAUGAAUCAUAACUUUGGUCCGAUUCAGUAGAUUCUGAUAACGCCAUAUUCAAAUCAAUCAAAGGAGUUGACAUCUCUCUGCUACCAGGCUCAGGAGAACCCUCGUGAUCUGAAUUCUUAUUUCCUUCUUUCGUCUUAGUGAAAGCUUCCAUGGGAAUAUGAGAAGUGCCACUUUCUGCAGUUAUGCAUUUGUCUGGAGAAUCCUCAUGAUCUGAAUUCUUAUUUGCUUCUUUCGCCUUAGUGAAAGCUUCCAUGGGAAUAUGAGAAGUACCACUUUCUGCAGUUACGCAUUUGUCUGGAGAAUCCUCAUGAUCUGAAUUCUUAUUUGCUUCUUUCGCCUUAGUGAAAGCUUCCAUGGGCAUAUGAGAACUACCACUUUCUGCAGAUAUGCAUUUGUCUGCUUCGGUAGACGUGAAUGACGAUGAUGAUGAGGAGGACGAUGAAGAAGCCAUAGCAUCUGAAAACAUCUUGCAGAGACUUUGUCGUUCUGGUAGCUCAAGUAUAGCAUCUGCUUCUGAGAAUUUGACACGUUUCACUGAUUUGCGGCAGAGUUCUAUUACUCCCUUGCCUUCUGAAUUGCCACGUUUCUCCUUGACCAUUUUCACUGAUGUGUGCUUUGUGCACUUUAAAAUGCCAUGCCUAGGGAUAAAAUUUUCCAGAUCUCGUGGUUUCCCCACUUUGUUGGCUUUAUUGCUGUCCAUGUGCUUUUGUGUGCCAGCCUUCUUCUUAUUUAUAUUAUUGAUCUUCCCUUGCUUCCUUCUCUCAGAUAUCUUUUCUCUCUCUUCUCUGUGAUGUUGUGAGGCCUCAGUUUUCUGUGAUGAGUGAGUAUCCAGUCCAUCAAACAGGUUUGGACUUUCAAGUGCUUCCUACAGAAUUGAAGAGCAUUAUUUGAAACCAUAAGAGACAUAUAACUGUGAUUACAAAAAAUAAACAAAAAACUGAACAGCACAAAUCAGAUCUACCAGAUGUAUACCAAUUUGAAAAAAUCAUCAGAAAAGCAGAAUACCCUAGACGGAAAAGUUGCUGCAUAUAUUUAAUUUAUUAUGUUCAUUAAUUUUGAAUCAUAGAAAUUUCAGCACAAGUGUGUUAUACACAAAUGACAUUGGUGUUGCAGGUAUGCAUAUGGGUGAUGGACCAUGCGUUUAAACUUUACACCCACUGCAAAAUUCACAAAUCUUAAAUGUUCUUCUGUAGAUACACUUGUUAAUGUCAGUCUCGUAUAUCACCACCAAUGUUUAGGAGAAAAAUAGUUUUAAGAUUAUACCAGGGUUACAGUCCUACGUAGGCAUACAUAUAUUUUCUGAUGGAUGCCUAAAGUGCCUCUAACACUUUCUAUAGGAAUACAUGCUUGAUGCAAACAGGGUUAUGUUCUUCUGUAGAUACACUUGUUAAUGUCAGUCUCGUAUAUCAUCACCAAUGUUUAGGAGAAAAAUAGUUUUAAGACUAUACCAGGGUUACAGUCCUACGUAGGCAUACAUAUAUGUGCUGAUGGAUGCCUAAUGUGGCUCUAACACUUUCUACAGGAAUACAUGCUUGAUGCAAACAGGGUUACGUUCUUUUGGAUAAGUGUCAAGCUACACGACCUGAACCACAUACUGAGAUCUUAGGCACACCUCACAGGUCCCACAUUGGAAAUGAUGUCCUCGAAAAAUUCUAGGGACAAAUUGCUCAAAUGUAGACAGCAGACACAAUCCGUAACAUGAAGCGACACACAAUAUAUGUGGACGUUCAGACUCAAUCCAGGACAACAUGCACCAAUUCAUGCCACCUAGUGUUAAACAUGCCUCCUCGAGUGGACUCAAGAUGCCAGAUGUUAUGUGGGUAUCUGCGUGGGCGGAGAGCUACACCGCCACCCGCUUCCGGAGUCCAGGCAGAUCGUGAUACAUAUUAUUUUUCCGGAAUGCGCAAGAGAAUUGCGUGUCAUAUCAUUAAGAAGGAGAAGAAGAUGUUCGAAAAUUGCAAGACCUCCGCAACAGAGGCAAAGCCAACCCCACUCCACCAGUGUUCUACAGAGCUAUCUACUCGCGACGACCCACUAUUCCACCGUCCCUCUGUCACCACACCAGUAGCCACAACCUCCAUUCACUCGCAAUGCCAGCUACAAUCGCCGAAACUGCAGCCGAGGGUUGAAGACCCUCCCUACUAUUAGGCUCCUUCCAAAUCCUAUGCAUGAAGAGUAUGAACAAAGAGUUCAACACCUUCCUCGCCGCCGCACUGGCCUUGGUCCACCAGGCUACCAGUAAAUCGUGCUGGGAAGGAGUGUGCCGCUCGUAGUGCACCAUGCGUACACCUCGAACCAGAUAGCGCGCGAAAAAGAGCAUUGCACCAGAAGGUGAUCCAGCGAUUCCGGCUCCUGAAGGCACAGAGGGCAGCACGGCUGAUGCGGCAGGCCCCUGGAAGCAAGACGAUCGGACGUCCAGCAUCUGUUGUUCACUGCGAUCCACGCGAAGAAUUUGAGCUCCGGUGGCACGUGUGAGGCCCAAAUCUCCUCCGCAACAGGCGUGUGCGUCAGGCCCUGAAAGAACGCGCGAUAUGCCAUGCGCGCCGAAUAGCAUCCAGAGGCACACCAAAUCCAGCGAAACUGAUCCGGAGAUGCCGUCAUGGAACCUGCCUGACACUGCAUGGACCCCCAUAGGACGCAGAAUUGGCCGAUCAUGGGCGUGGAGAACUGCCCCUUUAUGUGCCCAGUCCAUGCGCUGCGCGUGAGGCCGUCCACAGAGCAACCAGCGCGCACCAAUGGCGGAACAGCGCCCAGAUAUCCGGCGCGAGCUCGCCAGCCAAGGCACCCUCAAUCCAUCGAUCCAUCCAAAAAAUUGCAGACCGGCCGUUCCCCACAGUACAGACCCCACGGUACAGACGGUAGACGCCGCAAAUAAUCCCAUGGCUUCCUUUGUCAGCUAACCUGCAUGCCGUGCCAGGGCCGGUCGGGAUCUGUCCGCGCCAGCCAAGCCCACCGCACGCGUAGUGCCGCAUUCAGCAAGCGCAAGUUGUGGAUGCCCAAUCCACCCAGUUCUUUUGGUCUGCAGACUGUGCUCCAGGCCACUUUGCAGUGUCCUGCCUUAGCCUCGCGUGCGCCCCGCCAUAGGUAUGUGCAUGGGAACGCCGCCACCAUGCAAGGGAGGGACAGCAGACACGGUCUACCAGCUCAAGAUCGCACCUAAUCGGGAUGAUGGAGCUCUUCGACAUGUUCGCUUUUAGGCCCAAAGCUUCACCGAAUAUAUGGAAAACCUCCUUGAUCACCAGUUCACCACCAGGUCCCGGACAGCCGGCCGCGCAAACAUCACCAUGUCGUCGGCAUAGAGGAACAACCGAUGCUUGAUGCCCACGCCCUGCAUGGACUCCGGCAGUCCUUGCCUCUACUUUGCGAAUCAUGGCCGUAAGAACAUCCAUGGCCAGGAUGAAAAGCAUGGGGUAGAUGGGGUCCCCUUGCCGCAAACCCUGCACGUGCCAAAUGCGACCCCCGGGGUGUCCAUUCACCAUCACUCUAGUCGAAGCCGAAGACAGCAGCGCUGCGAUCCAAGAACGCCAUCGGGCACCGAAACCACGCCGCGUUAGCACUUCCAUGAGCAAGGGCCAUCCGAGGGAGUCGAAUGCCUUCGCUACAUCAAGCUUGAGGAAGAGUGAUGGCACUUUCCUAUGGUGAAGCAGCUUGACAGAUACGUAUUAUCUUUACUUGUCCCUAGUUAGCAUUAAUUCCGACUGAGAGUUUGGAACUUUGGAUGUAGAAUGGUUCGCCCCGAAGAAGGUUUUCUUGCUAUAUCCAAAUUUAGUUAGACUCCCUAUGAAGCCAUCUACAGGCGUAAGCCAGAAUGUGUCACAUCUAGGCAUUUGGGUGCAUGACGCAUGUGAAGACUGUGGAGCCGCACCUCUAAAAGCAUGCCGACCGCAGCACCAAGAUGGUGUUCAUCGGAUGCGAGAGGGCUUCCUGCACCAAUGCAUACCGCUUCUAUGACCCAUGACUACUACUCCCUCCGUUCGGAAUUACUUGUCUUGGAAACGGAUGUAUCUAGAACUAAAAUACAUCUAAAUACAUCCAUUUCCACGACAAGUAAUUCCGAACGGAGGGAGUACCUCAGAUCUAAUCCUCACCCUCCUGGCCAUUAAAUAUGUGACAACAGAACACACACGCACAGCAAGGUAAAAGUAAUAACCAGGUGGAAUGCAAAACUCUUGGUAGACUAAUCCACUAUAUAUUAUGCGCAAAUAUUUACAGCCAUGGUAGUUAUACAGCUUAAAUCACAUUAUUAGGUAAAAUGUGCACUAUACUCAGGAAGAUAUGUGUAAUAACCACUUAUACCAAAGGAUAUAAAAGAAAUAAAAAUAAUAUUUAGAUCGGACAGGGACUGAAUGCUGGUUAAUUAUGGAACAUUCAUAUCUGUAUUUUAAGAAAAAAUAGAUAUACAAUUAUCCUACAGUCCAAAUUGAAGUUGGUUAAGAGUUCUCUUGACCGUGACUUCAUAUUUCCAUCCAAUCUAUCUUAUUUUCUCUUCUCCAGCUUGCACCCAAAUUUGAAGAACAUUUUCUGUAUGGCUUGGGCAGUCCAUACAUUAGAAUAUUCUAUAGAGGUAGAGCUAUCUUAGAAUGAAAAAUCAACUUAAACUACAGACAUAUAUAUUUCCAAGUCCCUCAAAUGCAUACAAAAUGAGUAUUCGUGUAAUGAACCUAUUCCUUGAACUUUUUUUUAUCAAACGACCAUGACUAAAAAAUCAUGUUUUUUUGAGAAAAAUAUAGUCGUGCACUCAUUAAGCUGUGUAGUUAAUUUUUUUUCGACAAAAAGGACCACAUGGUUGUCACAAUGAUGUGUACUCGUCCUCAAUGUACCAAUCAAAAAACAAUCUUUUCACAAUUAUCCUUAUAUACUUAAUGACAUCUAUUGACAGAUCGACCAAUUAAACUUCUUUGUUGAUGUAAUAAAUGAAUAUAUAUGAUCCAAUUCAACCUUACAGAGUAGAGAGUACUAGAAGCAAAACAAUUCUCACAGGCCGACCGGCCAGGAAUUGCGCCAGUCACAUCCUUGCGCUACACGCUGCAAACAACAACGCCAAAUGCUACGACCGGCGGCCUAGAAAGCUACAACCUAUGAAAUAAAAAGCUUCAACUGAAGACGGGGGAGCUGGUGGUGGGGCACUAUGCAACCGCAAAAUAGCUGCAACCGGCAGGAGAGAAGCUACAACCGGCAACGGGUGAAGCUUCAACCGGCACAAACGGUGAUCGCGGGUGAGCUGGGAACUCGUGACCGUGGGAUUUAUAACCUGCGACUGCAGUGAGAUGGAAUCGUCGUUUGGAAAGCUGGAACAGGUGAGAUUUUUGCUGCCACCACACCAGCGCCGCUGCUAUUGCGGUGAUCGCGUGCUGGAACCAACCGGUAGCACAGUUGCAACCAUGGCAGCAAAAGCUUUUGCAACCCUUGAAAAAUGUGCUGCAAUCGUCACCAGAUGUGGGAGCGGUGGUCCUACCUGCGGAUUUAGUUGCACACGAUGACUAGAGGGCAGCAGCAGCUGCGGCGAGUUGCGGGAGUGUGCGAGGUGGAUACGGCGAGCAACACAGAAGGAGGAUGAGAAGAAAAACUGGCACAGGCCUCCCUAUGAUUCAGGACGAAUCGGUGGGGAAAGAAAAUAGGAUGACAUGGGGUAGGAGAUCGGACGAUUAUGGGACCCAGUCUGAUGGUCUGCAUGCAACCAGCCGAACCCUAGAGCCGGUCGGCCGGCACUUAGCGCUGCUAGAAGGGAAGUGCGCACUUCACUGCGUCGCUUAUGUUCCUGAGGUUGCACAUGUUUUUUUUUAUGUGCUAGUUUUCUCUUUUGAAAGUUGUGAAAUUAUUUAAGUGAUUGGGUGGGUUUUCUCUGACCGUGUGAUUGGGGGGCAGCUUCUAAUGAGUACACGUACGUGGGGGAGUUAUCCUAUUGGCCACGUGUAUUGUGUUGGUGCUAAGCGUGGCAAAUUUUCAUGUUUUGACCCUUUUCUGAAACCUAUUCGAGAUUUGACCCUAGUUUGAAAAAAAUUCAAGAUUUGACCCUUUUGCUACCGCCAGAGUCCAUGGCGGUAAGGUUUAACAGCCUACCGCCAGGGACUUUGGCGAUAGGAAACAUCGCUAUCGCCAACCGGGCUGGCGGUAGCCUGCACAACCCUACCGCCAAGGUGCUUGGCGGUAGGCACGAGCACACAUUGUAUUUAAUACUUAGGAGGUUUUUGGCGGUAGGGCAUGCAACCCUACCGCCAGGGACCUUGGCGGUAGACUGUUAUACUCUACCGUCAUGGUCCCUGACGGUAGCAAAAGGGUCAAAUCUCGAAAAAAAUUCAAACUAAAGUCAAAUCUCGAAUAGGUUUCGAAAAAUGAUCAAAACACAAAAUUUAGGUCAACACCCGAAAUUUAGCUGCGUGCCGUGGUCAACGCUUGCUUCUUGCCAACCAAGACCCAUGCUACCCAGGCACUUGCCAAUAGGACCCACCCAUCAAAAGAUCCCACCACAAAGCCCAGUAAAAAUCGUGUACUGAAUACUAAAUUGAAGAUCUCAAUUGAAUGAGGUCAUGAUGAGAUGUGGCCCACAUAGUGUGUACGUCUCCAUGGAGUAUUAUACAAUACAUUGGCAAUGCAAAAGGGCCGUGCUACGAAUCAGUCGGAUGAUGAAAUCAUCCGCCCGCCCAGCCGUCGGAUCAACGCUAUGGGGCCGUUCGAUGCAGCAACUCCACGACAGAAGACCAUCUUUGACGCAACGGCAUGCCAGCUCCUCUGCAGCACGGCACGGCGCGACCAUAGCUCCAACGCAGCGUCGACGACAUCGGGUAAAGCUCCAUUGCAGCCCCGGCGACGUCCGGCGAAGCUCCAUUGCAGCGUCGGCUAUGCUUCCGACGGUCCGGCGUUGCUCCAUUGCAACACCAGCAGCGCUCCCAACAGCUUCAACACAACAUCACCGGAGUUUUAGCACCACCAUCGGCCACUCGCCGCAGUCACUGUGGCAGCACCGGCGACUUCCAUUGCAACUCCGGUAGUGCACCCAAUAGCGCAACUCCGGCAGUGCUCCCAACACCGAGACUUCCAUUGCAACUCCGGCGGUGCUCCCAAUAGCUUCAGGGAUAAUCCCCUCGGACGCGGACCUCCCCGCAACACCGGCUGCUCCCGCGGCGCCGACGAUGCUGCACCGGGCGCUCACCGGCAGGAUCGUCACGCUUCUCAACACCAGCAACAGCAAGGCCGUGCCCGGAACUGCAGGUCGACACGGGGUGCUGCAGCCUGCAGGUCGCAGCCGGGUGCUGCAGGCAGCUUGUUCUGACGAGGGAUGAUGGUGGAGAUGUGGGGCAGCUUGCUCCGACGAGGGCAAUGGCGAAGUAGUGGACGGAUGUUGCGUCGAGACGGAGGUAGGAGAGGAUGAAGAGAAAGGGGAUCUCGCUCCAUCGCUGGUAGGGGUAAAAAGAACGAGUCACGCGCUAGAGAUAAGGGACUGCGGGCGCGUGACAUGGCCCACGAGGACGCGUGGUGGCCGGGCGACACGGCUGAAUUCUGGAGAAAUCAGCCGGAUGUUUUAGAUCGUUUUCCAAUGCAAAAUGCUACUCCCCUAUCACAAAUAUAAGAUGUUUUGCUUCCUUCGAUCCAUAUUAAUUGUCGCCAUAGUUACCUGAUUCGCAAUUCAAAUUUGUCAUUCAAAAUUCGGUAUAUUUACCGAAUCGGAUUCGACGGGGCUGGGGUACACAUCUCCGAUUCGCGAAUCGUAGAAGGGGUUCGCGAACCCGGCAAUUACGACCUAAUAUGCCGGCUUCAGGUCGAGACUUCCUAGCUAUCCCAACGGCCACACACGCCUCGGGGCUUCAGGCACGCAUCUCUCAUCUGUUCUUAUUCUAGCACGUCUCUCCAGUAAUAUGCUUCCCCUCUCCCUGUCUGAUCUCUCCCGUUGCGCUCGUGCUCUGGCGGAUGGAGACGAAUGAGGAGGGAUGGAGGAGACGCAUGAGGAGAAAAAUUGACCGAUUAGGGUUUGGCGAAUCGGGCACCAAUUUUCGAUUGAACCGACCGAAUUUGUACUCCAAUUUGGGUCGCUCGAUCUAGAACGGAAUUCGAGGCCUCUCAUAGUGAAUCCGGUAACUAUGGUUGUCGCUCAAAUGGAUAUAUUUAGCAUUAAAAUAUGUUUACAUACAUCCGUUUCAGUAACAAUUAAAAUGGAUCAGAGGGAGUAACUUUUUUAUGAAUCAAAUGUAUAUAUACACGUUUUAGUGAGCUUGUUCAGUCAUUUUAGUCCAUGCAAUCCAUAUUAAAAUAAGCAAAACAUCUUAUAGUGUGAAGAGAAAGUUAGUGUUCACACACACGCUCCAAACUUAGUUAACUUAUUAGGUGGGUAGGUUCGCCACCUACCCUAAAGAUGUUACAUGGGCCAGUCCAUCAAACAUGGAGUCUUAUGCCUUACUUGGAGUCUUAGUUGAUUAAAGAUCUUUGUUAGGAAGGAGUCCAGUCAGUUUAGAGAUCAUAUUAGAGUUUGAAUAGAUUUACGGGCUAGUUGGUCAAGUCUUGUCUACUAUAUAUAGGGGCCGACCCUCUUCAUAAAGCAAAGAAGAAUAUUAUCGUUUGCUUUUAUAUACUUUUCAAUAAUUAGGAUUAGGUCAGCAGAUUCUUCCACUUUGGUAUCAGAGCUAUCUAUGGAGUAGAUGAAGAUCAUCAUGAAGCAAUUGGCGGCUUUCACAUGCCAAUGAGCAAAUGGCCAUACGCUCCUCGUCGGGCUAGUGCAACACUUGAGCAACGGCUACAUGCCUUACCCCCACCGUGAGAUUACACGGUUGCAGCAACCGCCUAUGACGCAACCUCUGCAUUGCAAGCACUUCUCCCCAGCGACGAGGCGCCCCUGGUGCUUCCCCUCAACCACAGCACCUUCGGUGUCACCUUAACUAGCGAGGGAAUCAUCACCGCCUCGACUGUGGACCUGCCAACCCCCACGACCUGCUCACUUUCCUUCAUUCCACCAUCUACUUCCCCUCGCACCAUGUGUCGACCGCUCGCAACUGUCAUCAUGCGCCAACACCCUUUUACCACCUCCAGCCAUCUCCUUACUCGCCACAACUACCCCUGACAUCAAUCUGGGCCACUUGGUACGCUCACCCUAUAGCCCAAAUCCCGCCCCAAUUUUGCUGCCCACCUACCAAAUAGCAACCCUACCAUCAACAACAUCAACCCUAUGAUCAUCAUCAGCAGCAGCAAUCGCAUAUUUUGCACCGCCUCUACCACUUUUGUGCCUCCACCUGCCAACCGGGGUGGGAUUUCAUAUAGCACUAUAGCCGCACCCCACCCCCCCUCCCCCAGGCCAUCUAUGGAUGAUGCAUCCCGCCCAUCACCUCCCUUCCAUCCUUAGGGUAUCUCCAGCCGUUCGGCCCCCCAGGGCGCCUAAAUAGAGCGGCCUGGGGGCGUGCCGGCGCUAGUUCGGCCCCUGGGGGCGACCUAGCUCCCAGUCACGCCCCCAAGCGCCGGCCCCAGGAUGCGAGAAAUUUAAACUUGGUCGUUCCCGCUCUUAAAAGACGCCAUAAAUCCGGCAGACGACUUUCCAUGCUUCGGCGAGGUAUUCCUCCUCCUUGGACGUCCACUUGAUGCGCGGUUCGCCUGACCUAGCCGCCCGCUUCUUCUUCUUCUGGCGCCCCUUCGUCAAAACAGGAGCCGGCUCCUCCUCGUCCUCCUCCUCCUCGUCCUCCUCCUCCUCCUCGGGUUCCUGCGCUUCGUGCGCGUCCUCGCCGUAGACGUAGCCGAGCUCGGCCUCCAUGUCGCCGCUGAGAUCCACUACCUCGUCCUGGGUGGCGAACCCGGGAGACGCGGCGGCCGCGGUCGAUCCUGUCGCGAUGAUGUCGUCCAUGUCGGCUCCUGUGUCGUCGGUGUCGCCGAGGUGCGCGAAGGGCAGCGGUCCACGGCGGAGAUGGGGCGUCGGUGUGGACGCGUAGGCGGCGGGUGGCGAGUAGUUGUAUGGAGGGUACAGCACGCCGACGAAGGCGGGCGAGGGUGUGCGCGUCGCGGGGUGGCCAUGGGGGAAGGNNNNNNNNNNNNNNNNNNNNNNNNNNNNNNNNNNNNNNNNNNNNNNNNNNNNNNNNNNNNNNNNNNNNNNNNNNNNNNNNNNNNNNNNNNNNNNNNNNNNNNNNNNNNNNNNNNNNNNNNNNNNNNNNNNNNNNNNNNNNNNNNNNNNNNNNNNNNNNNNNNNNNNNNNNNNNNNNNNNNNNNNNNNNNNNNNNNNNNNNNNNNNNNNNNNNNNNNNNNNNNNNNNNNNNNNNNNNNNNNNNNNNNNNNNNNNNNNNNNNNNNNNNNNNNNNNNNNNNNNNNNNNNNNNNNNNNNNNNNNNGGCGUAGCCAGGCGACGACGAUCCCCAUGGAGAUCCGACGUCUUGCUGUCCCCAGGGCGCGUACUGGGCGUGGCUGACGACGGGUGGAUUCAUCAUCCCCGCGUGGUCGACCGAUGAGGAAGACGCCGCCGCACGCGCCGCGUUGUCGCGGGCCUUCUUGGCAAUGGCCCUGUUCCGCCGGUCGGUGGUGACUGUGUCGCGUCGCUGAACUUCCACCCUCCACUCGGCGCUCGACAUGCCUGGUGGCUUCGAUGGCGGCGCCCUCGGCUUCCUCUGCUUCGGCUGGGCCAUGAUGCCAGUCGUGGUUGCCGCCGCGCGUGGCAUGGCGUACUUCUUCGGCGGCAUGGCGACGACUGGAAGGCGAGCUGGAGGGGGUUUGGUGGGAGGAAGGCGAGCAAGCGGAAGAGAUGCGAGGGAAAAGCGUAAAGAAGCGGCGGGAAAAGGCCCUCGGGUCGCCGCCAGGGCGGGCCCACACGCCUUUUUCGUUUGUGCCGGCUCCCCAAGCGCCCCCCAGGGCGCCGGGUUCGGCCUGGGUCCGCCGGCACCAGUUUUGGCCCGAGCCGGCGAAAACGGGCUUCUGGGGGCGUGAUUGGGCCGGUUUUUUUACGACGGCGCGGCAAAAUCGCCUGGGGAGGGCCUGUUGGGAGCGCGGCUGGAGAUGCCCUUACCAACAAUCACCUAAGAUCAGGUCUCGCUUCCGCAAACUUGACUUUCGGACGUAUGACGGUGAUGUCGAUCCUCUUGGUUGGCUCAAUAGGUGCGAGCAGUUUUUUCGUGGACAGCGCAUAGACGAGGCUGAAAAGGUAUGGACUGCAGCCUACCACCUCACCAAUGGCGUUCAGUUUUUUUGGUACUUAAUUACAACUAGAGUGCGAUUUCAGCAUGCCAACAUGGGAGCAGUUCAAGGAAGCUUGGCACAUUCAGUUUGGGCCGUCACUCCGCACCAAUCCCUUUGGCGAGUUGGCACGUCUAACUUUCGCCUCCUCGGUUGCUUACUACACCAGCAGGUUUUUAGCGCCCAUGUCCCACAACAAUGAGCCAUUUACACCGUCCCAGCAACGGUUUAUGUGCACAAUAGGGCAAUAGGGCUGCUCGAUGGUCUUUGCACUGAAGUCGAGCUUCAGCGGCCAUCUAACCUUCACACUGCCAUCUCCUUCGCCAAGGCCUAUGAGCAGGGGCAUUUCCCUCCAACAACAUCACCACACCAGCCUUCUGGUCCUAUAGAGCCCUUGCGCCCCAACGAUCUUUAUGCGGUCAACGCAACUACAAUACCUUCCCCACCAACGACACUAGCAAUUAUUCUGUCGUCGACCACUCCAUAGCCAACCCCGCCACAGCAGGUUCGGCGCCUCACUCUACAUGUCAGGAAUUUUGCUUCAACUGCGACGAGAUUUAUGUUCGGGGUCACCGGUGCACGCGGCUCUUCUUCAUCGAGGAUGAUUUAAAAAGAAAAAGGUAAAAUGCCGAUGUUGUUGGUGACACGCUCAUGACACGGUGAGCGAGAGACACAACCCAGAGCAAGGCCAGAUAACCCACGACCACUAACCCUAACCUUCCUCUCUCGCACUCUGUUUGGCUGCAGCAGGGAUUGGGGAUCAAGGGAGACUCAAGAGCACCACUGCCAUCUAUGCCGCCUGGAGUGGCUCGCGCCGCCAUCUCCGCCGCCGCCUGGAAUCGCCUCUCAUCCUUGUCGACUCGUCAUGCCGCCGCCUCGAGUGACUCGAGUCUUUUCGCCAUCGCUGCCCAACGCCAUCAACAGUGAGGUAGUAUGAUUCAGUCGCACUCGUGUUUGGCUGCUUGAUGUGUCUUGUCUCCUGUGUGCUUGGCUGCUGGCUUAUGCUAUGGUGCAUGUGUCUAAUUACUUGUACUUGUGUUUUCUCAUUAGAUAAAAUGCUAGUUCGGAUGUUCCUUUGAACAUAGUUAGGUUGGGGAAGCAAACUUGCACACAUAUAUACCUCCAUUUAUCUUGAUAAGCUAUGCCUACUGUCUUGUUGUUGUUGAAGCAUUGCUUGCUGAUGUUGCUGAUGCCUACUGUCUAGUGUAUUGUAUAUUGCUUGUUGAUGUUGCUCUUUUGUCUACUGCUAGGGAGGGAAAUACGACAUGGCAUCUACUGGGAGUGGCAUGGCAGCAAGCCAAUCUUCACUUGGUGGUACUGCUACGGAGGGAAAUACGAAAUUGACAAAGUCUAAUACCAUAUGAUGUACUCUCUCCGUAAAGAAAUAUAAGAGCGUUUAGAUCACUAAAGUAGUGAUCUAAACAAUCUUAUACUCCCUCUGUACCAAAAUAGUUGUCGCUGGAGUAGCUAAAGUUCAGCUACUCCAGCGACAACUAUUUCGGUACAGAAGGAGUAUUUCUUUAUAGAGGGAGUAUUUUUCUAUUUUGCAUACACCAUGAGGAGUCGAGGAGCUUGAUGAUCAAUCAGGACUUGAAAAGAGUCACGGAGGCGAUCAGCAACCAAUGGGCAGUAUUUUGAUAUCUCUCACUCUUUAUACGUGUCAUUUUAUUAAUUAUUUUUAUAUACUCGCCGUAAUGCCGUAUUGUUGUUUCUAAAAAUUGUCUUAUCCCGUAUCAUCAUAUCGGUGAUUCAUAGCCUACAACGAACAAGUUGUUUCCCAAGGAAGGGAGAGAUGUUAUGUGAACCAGCCCAUCAAACGUGGAGUCUUAUCCCUUACUUAAGCAACUUUGUUAGGAAAGAAUUCGGUCAGUUUAGAGAGGGUACCUUGAAUAGAUUUACUGACUUGUUGGUCAAGUCUUGUCUAUGUCUACUAUAUAAAGGAGCCGAUUCCUCUCAAUAAGACAGAGAAGAAUAUUGUCGUUUACUUUUAUCUACUCCCUCUAUAUCUAAACAUAAAACGUUUUUGCAGUUCAAAUAAAGAGGAAGUACUUCUCAGUAAUUAGGGUUAGGUCAGUAUUAGAUUCUUUCAAAAGAGUAUCCUAUUGAAUUUCUAUAAUGUUAAUCCAAUUUACUAGUUAAUUACUGGACAGCAUAUUAUGGAUCAUGUCAAACAUACGGUGACAGCAGUCUGACCGCAACAUGCAUAUUAAGAACCACCACCCUUUUCGAAGUACUGCUUGUAUGCAUGUCUAGCGGUUGUAUUAAGAACAGCUAUCAUUAGCAUACAUACAUCAUGAAUUGUUGAACAAUAAGACAGGUCGAUAGAGGCGAAUAAAAGUAUGAGAUAAGUAAUGAUGAAGGCCCCUUAUCCAAUAGAAAUGCAAAAGAUAUCAAUGAAGUAAAUGCCUGCUCCACGUCUAUGAUAAAGUCUCGUGUAUGGGUCCGGACCAGACUGAAAUCUGCAGGAGGGACACCAACUAGGCACCUCUCACAACUCAUCGUGCAUGGUGUCUCAGAAGGCAACACGACACGCCAUGUAUGUACUAUAGCAUCUACAGCCGGACUUGGCAAAUCCGGACCGUCAAACGCUCGCGGACAUGCCCGGACGCGUCCGUGGGCAUUGACCUAUUCGUCGUCGGAGAUGUCAACGAUCUCCGUGCCGAGCUCCGGCAGCAUGGUCGGCAGCUUCAGCUCCGGCUGGUCCGCUCCGGCCUACUCUGCCUCUAUCUCCGCGUCAAGUUCGGCGAAGAGCGUGUCGGACUCUACAUACUCCCGCCGAAGGAACAUCUGGUUGGCCUCCACAUAGGCCUCAUCCUGGAUGGACUCCAGGAUGGCUUUUUGGUCCGCCAUCUCCUGGCGUCGGCGAACUCCAGCUCCGCCUGCUCCAUGUUGAAGCCCGACAGCUGCUGCUUCGUCUGCUCCGGCUCCUGCUACUCCGCCUCCUCCACCUCCAUCAGAGCCAUCUCCUCCUCUUCCCCGGCAGCGAUGCCGGCGGCGCGCGCGGCUUGCCUUGCCUGGAUCUCUUGCUGGAUCUCGGCGCGGCGCUCCGGCGUCAGCAUGGCGUAGUAGGUGAUCUUGCUCCGAACCAUGGCAGAGUGCUAGAGCGUGGGCGGAGGGUCGGACCGGGGGCAGAGCGCCGGAGCGGGAGAGGGAGGAGGUGGAUGAGCUCGGACUGGCGGCGGCGAAGAGGGGGGAGGUGGAUUGGUUAGGGUUUCGAGACGCCGGCCGACUUAAAUAGCCGGAUUUGGUCUUGGGUGGCGAGCCGGAGCAGCUCCACGCGGUGUGCGCGGCGACGGACGCGGCAUUCGUCAGACCGUCGGGUUUCCUGGCGUUUCCACGUGAGACCCCGCCGUCAGGCCGUCAGACCAACGUGAUGGGCGUUCCCGAACGUCCCAUAUUGCCCCAUAUUUGAGCUGGAUAUGGAGUGACGGUCAGCCCGGGCGUUUGAGGCCCUUUUAUGAAGCCCGUCUGGGACAAAAAACGUGACUAGACAAUGACCGUGCGGCCCGCCGGGUGUAUGAGGCGAGUUUGAGAGGUCCUGCCGUAGAUGCUCUAAGAUAUGGUACAUAUGCUGUGCAGUACCAGCUAGCCGGUCUAGAGUGCACUACCACUAGCGGUUCGAUUAUUGGUGGUCAUCAUAUAAUCUAUCGGAUUCUUAAUGAUGAUAUUGGUCCUAAGUCACUGCAUGAGCAGCUAUCAACGUCAUCAAGUUCGUCCAAGAUUUGCACAAAUGGUCACAAGAAUUAUGUCCCAUUCCCCGACUUGGACUGAUCGAUCAAAGUCCACAAUUACGCAUGAAAUAACAAGAUUUUCGCCUAUAGAUAGUAAAAAAGUGCUAGCAAAUGUACCAAGAAAGAAAACACACUGAUCGUUCUAACGUUAGCAGUUAGCACAAGCCGCUUAAAGGUUUUGGCCAGAAAAUCGACGUGCACCUGCAAGCAGCCAUUAUCGAGUAACCACACAAUCUUCUAGACGAACUAGCUAGGCCUGGUUCAGAAUAGAUUAGGAACUGGGAUCGGCACAUCUAACAUACAAUAUCCCAUAUAGAACCAGCCAUAACUAAUUGCCCCCACAAUAUGUAUCGACAAAUAACAAUCACAUUAGCUGCUAAUACUACUAAUAACAUGGCAGUAAGACAACCAAAAUCUAAUUACGUAUAUGGAGCUAGCAAGCAUCUAACCAUCCUGAGCAAGUCAAUCAAGACCGGAACCAAUCGUUCCAUCAAUUCUUACGAGAUAAAAAGGGUAAAAAUACGUGGCAGGCAGAUAUCAUUGCAUUGGCAGACAGAGAAAACUUGGGUUGGGCUGGACCACGUACCUUGCUGGCAGCGAAAUUCCCCUUGGGCUCCCGGCCUCCGCUGCUCUCCGGCGCGGCAGCAACUGCCGCCGUCUCCUCCUUCUGCCCCGCCUCCUCUUCUUGCAGCUUUCUCUUCCGUUUCUUCUCCUCCUUGGCCCGCCUCGCGAUCGCGCACAGCGCCUCGUCGUCGUCCACCUCCGUUUGCUCUUUGCAUCCGGCAUCACCGGCGGGGGGCGCGGCCAAGGGGGGCGCCGCGGCGAAGAGGUCGGAGAUGGACCGCUUCUUCGUCGGCUUCGCCUUCCCUGGCGCCCUCCUCGGGGACGCCGCCCCAGCUGCGGCAGCCACGGCGGAGGCGAGUUCGUCCGCCCACCACCGGCACCUCGGCGCCCUGAGAGGCGGGAGAUCCUCGAUUCCCAAGAGAAGCAGCCCCUCCGCCCCUGUCUUGCACCUCAUGCUCGCCGCGUAAUCCCUUCGGACGGACAGAUCACAGACGGAGAUCAGAAACGAAAAANNNNNNNNNNNNNNNNNNNNNNNNNNNNNNNNNNNNNNNNNNNNNNNNNNNNNNNNNNNNNNNNNNNNNNNNNNNNNNNNNNNNNNNNNNNNNNNNNNNNNNNNNNNNNNNNNNNNNNNNNNNNNNNNNNNNNNNNNNNNNNNNNNNNNNNNNNNNNNNNNNNNNNNNNNNNNNNNNNNNNNNNNNNGCCAUGGACGCGUCGUCGACGCGCUCCCUCGGCGCAAAUCUGCGCUGGAUUUCGUGAUUUGGUGGAGAGGAGGAGGAGUAGACUGGAAGAAAGGAAGGUGGGAGGAAAGAGGUAGGUGAAGGAAAGGCAGGUACGGAGUAUGGUGCAUUUUUAUUUAGGCCUUUUUGGUUUAUAGGAUAGGAUUAUCAUAGGAAUAGGAAUUUUAUAGGAAAUGAGAUGACAUGUAUCUCAAAUCCUAUGAGUAGAAAUAGGAAACAAGAUGACAUUUGGUUGACACCAAAGAAAUUUUUUUAUUGAGUCUAGGCUUUUUUUUAUUUUCUUAUGAAAUAUGGAGGAUAGGAACCAAUCCUAUGUAGGAAUAGAAAUCCAUUCCUAUGAAUCAAAGAGCUCUAAAGGAAAAAAUCUUAUAAGAAUCCUAUCCUCCAGAUUUUUUAUGAAAUUCCUCUAAACCAAAGGAGGCCUUAAAAGAUAGGGAUUACCGUACGGUAUUAAUAAUUCGAGGUGGCCUUUGAUUACAUCGAGGCGAAUAUUGUACUUUUUUCCCGCUCUUCCCACCGCUUAUUUUGGGUACAAUUUAUUGAUUUUUCAGUAGUUAAUGCCCUGGCUAGCUGGCAUUGGUGUCGUGCCGCGGACAGCGACCGCUGAUUCGCGUCCAAUUAGUUUUUCUUCAUUUCUUGUGUGUGUGGCAGGUGACGUUGCACUAUCACGGUCUUCCGUUCGCCGGAGGGCAUUAUCAUGUGAUAACGACCGACUUUCAAAAAGAAAAGAUAACGACCGCGGCGCGGUGGGGGCGCACAACUUAGCCUCCAAUGAUCUAAACUUGCGUGCGGAGAUACAUGAAGAAUCACAGGUAAGUUUCGGCCUUGUUUCAAAAGUGUACAAUCUAUAAGCAGUUUUACAGGGGUAUGCAUGGUAUUUUUUCGCAAUUUGUUAUUUGUAAAAUGAGGCUUAAAAAGGUGAUCCUAAAUAAAAAUGCGUAAAUUUGACGCUUUGCUAGGUGGGUCUGUAAUGUUUAUGACUACACUUUAGUAUUUUGGGCUCAUGUAAAAACAAAUAAUACAAAUUGGGUAUCGUUCCUUGUGAUUUGUAUGAUUGAGAAAAGAUGCUUAAAAUGUAAUCCUAAGUUAAGAAGAGAGUAAUAUGACGCUUGGCUAGAUGUGCCGAUAGUGUUCACGACUACGGUACAGUUUUCAUAUAAACACAUAACUAGGAUAGUUGNNNNNNNNNNNNNNNNNNNNNNNNNNNNNNNNNNNNNNNNNNNNNNNNNNNNNNNNNNNNNNNNNNNNNNNNNNNNNNNNNNNNNNNNNNNNNNNNNNNNNNNNNNNNNNNNNNNNNNNNNNNNNNNNNNNNNNNNNNNNNNNNNNNNNNNNNNNNNNNNNNNNNNNNNNNNNNNNNNNNNNNNNNNNNNNNNNNNNNNNNNNNNNNNNNNNNNNNNNNNNNNNNNNNNNNNNUGUUUCAAAAGUAGUAUACAAUCUAAGUUGUUUUACAGGUUUAUGCACUGCUAAUGUUUUUGUGAUUUGUUUUUUUGGGAAAUGAGGUUUAAAAAGGUGAUCCUAAAUUAAAACACGUAAAUACAUAUACGUAUGAAGGUUCGCUAGGUGGGUCGAUACUGUUUAUGACUACUAUUUAGUAGUUUGGGCUCAUGCAGAAACACAUAAUAGUAAAUUGGGUAUAAUUUUCUGAUUUGUUUGAUGGAGAAGAGAUGCUUAAAAAGUAAUCCUAAGUUUUAAAAAAUAGUAAAUAUGAUGGUUGGGUAUAUGUAUUGGUAGUGUUUACGACAACAGUACAGUUUUCAUAUGCACUGUGGCAUGCACCUCGCACGCCGGGACAAUGGACUAUUGUUCGGCAUUAUUGUCGAUAUAAACACAUAAAUAGGAUAGAUGGGAAAUGCACUGGCACUUACCAGGCCUGGACCAGUGGGCGUCCAUUCCAGACGAUGAAACAAAGGCCCCAAUUUUCAGCCCUUGGGCUGUUGAGACACACCAAGAUUCACAGGUAAAUUGUGGUUUUGUUUCAAAAGUAUACAAUAUAACAUGUUUUAUAGUGUUAUGCAUGGGUGUUGUUUUUGUGAUUUUUUUUGAGAAAUGAGGCAUAAAAAGGUGAUCCUAAAUUAAAGCGCAUAAAUAUGACAGUUUGCUAGGUGGGUUAGCGUUUAUGACUACGGUUUAGUAUUUUGGGAUUAUGUAAAAACAAAUAAUAGUAACGCGGGUAUAGUUUUGUGAUUUGUUUGAUUCAGAAAAGAUGCUUAAAAAGCCAUCCUAAGAUAAGAAAAGAGAGUAAGUAUGACCAUUGGCUAGGUGUGUCGGUACUGAUUACAACUACGGUAUAGUUUUCAUAUGCGCUGGAAUGCACCAGGCACACCAGCACAAGAGAACAUUGUUCGGCAUUAUUGCCGAUAUAAACACAUAAAUAGGAUAUAGUUGGGGAGGUGCGCUGGCACACCAGGCCCGGACCAAUGGACAUGCAUUCCCGGCGACGAAACAGAGCCCCAAUUUCGACCCCCCCCCCCUCCCCCACCUAAUUACUAGCACUUUGGCCCAUUGGGCCUAAUAAUCCCCGGUCCAAAAAAUUCCCUAUUGAAUAGCCUUCAAUUGCUUCAAGUUCUAUGGUAGGAAUAGUCCUAUUACUUUUUCCCUACCGGACAAGCCCCACUAUCGAAUUUGGGCAUUUUCUGUUUGUCAGUUUGACUUCGACAACCUCUGCCUUGGAGCCUUUAUGAGUGAAGUCGUCGGCUUGGUUUGGCGAUACUACCGCGGCUACCUAUCUAUAUCAAGGUGACCCCCUGCUGCCGUUAUGUUUGUCGUGAUUGGCAGUCUCUUCAUACGCAACGGUAUACUAUUGCGGCGAUUCAACGAGAUUUAUUUUUCUACCGGUCUUUGCAGGUAAUUCAAUGCUUGGAUUUCUCUAUGUUGCCCAUUAUUGGCGUGAGCUAUGGUGGUGCACCAACGACAAGUUUAGUUGCGGCUAUGGCAAGAUUAUGGAGGUACAUAGUUCUAGUGAUAAGUUCCCCUUUGUUACGCUAGCUAGUUGUCGUGUCAAUGACCUUACAUCGGAUUGUAUCGGAUUAAAAAAAUGACUUCGAUGCCUCAUGCCUUUGUCUCGGUGUGAUCGGUUUGGGUGACUCACAUACCCAUGCGACUCAGCGCCUCGCCCUCGCCUGCCCCUCCAUCCCUCGAUAGUCACCCCAGAGUUCGACGUCCAUUGCUUAAGGCCAUGAUUUCACGAUCUGUACAGUGCGCCUCUUUCUAGUUGGUCUAAUUGCCAGGAUGUGUGUGGGAUCAUCCUAUAGUACUCCAACGCAAUGUAAUUUAUACUUAUUAAUCUAAUAAUCAGAAAAGGGGGCAUCAAAAUAUAGAAGUAACAGGGAACAAGGCAAACCAAAGGGGAAGCUCCAAUCUUGCCUCAUUUUUUUUUUGAGACAAAAUCUUGCCUCAUUUUAGUUCUGAGCCAUUCCGAACUUGUGAUUAAUCCGGCGAAGAUUAUCCAACAAAGAGGUGAAUAGGUACGAUUCUAAUUAUACCCAAUUCCGUGUAAGACACUAUUGCAGAUAUAGCAUUAUAGUUAUAUAUUCUAAUUAUACCGCAAAUCAGGAGAAGUAGGGCCCAUUUUUUUAGCUUAGCACAUGGCCCGGUUUUUGCUGCCUUGGCUUGAGUAUUGCCCAUGCAUGCUAGCAGGCGAGACCAUGGUUCGGUCUCUGAGAGCUCAUGUAAACAAAUACUCCCUCCCUUCCAAAAAUGUCUACAUUUGCCCAUGUUUAUAGAAAAAUUGUUUGUAUUUGCCCAAGUUUAUAGGAAAAAAUAUCAUCAUCCACAAUGCAUAUGUGGUAUCCAAUAUUCGUCACAAAGUGUAUUUAUAUUUUCUUUAUUUAGUACUCUCUUCGUUUCUUUAUUUAUAUUGGCUGUGCAUAAAAAUUGUUCCCUUCCUAGAAGUGUCGUUGUUGGAUCACUUAUGAUGUUACCUGAGGGUUAUAAUUGAUGGUUGUUGUUUUUGUUUGUUGCAAUUGUUGGCUCGGUCGCCUUUUCUUUUUCUUUUAUAAUAAUUUUACUGCGUGCAUCCUCGAUUUCUUGAGAACCUCUUGAGAUCGUGUUGGUGCAGAGACUGGGUGUAUUUAAUAUCUUCUCAAUAUUAAUAUAUUUGUUUAUUGGAAAAAAUAUUUCACAGAAGAAAAAGCAUGAUUAUAUAUUUUUCGUAAAAGAUAUUUUCAAGUACGCUAGCAUUGUGUAUGCACGUCAUUAAUGAGACUAUGUCUCAAUACUGUUGCUCACCACUUUCUAGUUUCGUGUGUGUCAAAACGUGAAGGUAGUACUUCCUCCGUUCAGGUUUAUUGGGCUCGGAGACCACUUCUUUUGUACCAAGGCACAUAGUAAUUUGCUCAUGCUAAAUCUUUCAUCCCACUCACAAUGUACUCUUUCACAUGCCAGCUCUCACGUGCAGCCAAUAGAAAAGCAUGCAUGCAGCAUAUUUAUUACUCCUUCCAUUCUAUAAUGUAGUGCGUCCAUAUUUUUUGAGAUUUAGCUUUGUUCAUAAAUUUAAUCAACAUGGGCAACUGUAGCGGGAGCAUGACAGAUACUUUGAAUUCGUAUUUUUAAAAAAAACAAAUGUGUGAUUUUUUCAGUAAAAUGAUUUAAGUAUUAUUGGUCUAAUUUAUGGUCAAAGUUGAAUCUUAAAAAGUGUGGGUGCACUACUUUAUGGAAUGGAGGGAAUAUUUAGCUAUGAUACUACUCUCUCCGUCACGGUUUAGAAGGCACAGUUAAAUUUACGUGUGUUUCCACAAUAGAUAAGGUUUAGGGCGCAUUGCAUUUAUUUCUAGUAGCUAAUUAGUACUCCCUCCAUCACAGUUUAAAGGGCGUAUCUCCAAAACCAAUUUUUUUCACAAUUAGAGGAAAAUAGGGCGCAGGUCAUUAAUUAGCCCGCUGAAAUUACUCCUUCCGCUUGCCUUCCUGGUGCGCAUGCAUGGUGUGAACUGAAACUUUAGGUGGAGGUGUGAAUCGGUUUUGUUUGCAUGCAUGGCUGUGCGAGGCCUUUUAUUGGACGGGAAGAUUACUAUGUGUUUGUUUAGCGAUUAAUUAGGCACAUAUCCUUAACUACCGCAACUCCAGCGCAUCAUUUAUUCCUGCCAAUUGCUAGCGACCUUGGGCCCAGAGAGAUGUGAGGUACGCCUUUUAAACUUUGAUGUAGGAAGUACUCCGAUAUACUAUUUCUAUAUGCAUGCAUAGUGUGAAUGCUAUUUUUUAGCCCAUCCCACGACCAAUAGAUAACUACCUAGGUCUCAGAGAAUUUCCAAUCACGCCUUCUAAACCGUGACAGAGGAAGUAUCAACAAUUCCUCUCGCUAUAUCCAAUAAAAUAGCUGCAUGCAUGUAGCUUUGCAAAGCAAUGCCUUGUAAAAACGGACAUGCAUGCAUGUGAUGCAUCCUAGUCAUAACUUCAACUUUUUGCGUAAAUUUUUGUACGGAUGUGGGCGGUAUAUAUGUUUAGCAUUUGCAAUAAAAAUAUAUUGUUCAUGCCUCACAUCUUUAUUAAAGAUGGCACCACGUUAAGUUCAGUUCAAAUGUAUUUCUCUUGUUAUACUCAUUUUGCCACAUACUACUUGGUUUGUUUUAUUAUAUUUUAAACGUUAACCAAGAACGCUUUACAUUAGUUUUUUCAUUAACUUAAUUGAUUUUAAACUCAUUUUGCCACAUACUUGGUUUGUUAUGCAUUUAUUUUAAUAUAGUUUCCACGGCAACGCACGGGGCAUCAUCUAGUUGCUUGAUAUAAGGAUAUGUAAUCAAAUCCCUAAAAAAAAUAUCCAGACUAGUGGUGCAACGCAAUACACUUUAUAUUUUGGUUUUUUUAUCAAAAAAUUAUAUAUCUUAUAUCAAGGAACGGAGGGAGUAGUACUUUUGAAGUUUUCAAAGACAAUCAAACAAAUAUGAUGAAUUUAAAGUAGUGAUGCCAUAUUAAUGGAUGAUCGUAAUCCUUCUUAUUAUUGAAAAGAUUCAUAGUAUCUCUUAAUAAUGGGAACAUUAUUUUAGUGAGAUAAGCUUGCUGGAAUCACAUGGGCGCCAAUCCAUAUCGAGAACCAAUAAGUAAGCCACAAGCCUACAUCCAAUAUACGGCCGAAGUAUAAUACCGACAAAGUAUAUGUAUAUAUAGCUCAAAAAAGAUCGUGGUGACCUUGUGUAAAGAGUGUAACUUUAAAGGAAUCAAGCAUUCCCUGUCUAUACUAUAAUAGAAGAUGGAAAAUUACAAUUACAAAUUAGAGCAAUUUGAAUCAAUAUGUGGUUGGAUGGUUAGAAAGACGUGGUAUUUUCAGCCCAUCAGAGUUGAAAUCCUGGUGCUCGCAUUUAUCCUGGAUUUAUUUCAGGAUUUUCGGCGAAGCGCGUUCAGUGGGUGGGAACAUUCCCGUCGACUACAAGGCGCCUACGGUGACUUCGUAAAAUCACAAGAUGAUAUGCCGACCCAGUCUCUCUGAGGUGCUCAUAGGGGUAGGGGGUAUGCAUGUGUGCGUUUAUAUAGGUGAGUGUAUACACGUGUAUAUGAGCGCUUGCGUCUGUAUUGUGUUAAAAAACAAAGUAUAGCAAUUCAAAUGACUUUCUUCAAGUUUCUCUGAAUUUCAUGGUAAUAUUGUUGGGAUGUGAUUCGGUGACCAAUAUUACACUAUAUCGGUUAUUAAACAUGGAGGUUUACUUAAUCACUAUUUUUUCUAAGAAUAAAUUUAAAUCACCCUCGUUUAUUUCAAUCAUAGCUCCAAACUUAGAAAAACGAUCGAUUAAUUAUAGAUACAAUAAAAAAUAAGUGUAGUUAUUGGCUAACUAAUUGCAUUUAAGAAAAUACGAAAUGUAAAAAAUGAGCAUUUCAGUAGAUGGGCUCUUUACGUGUGCUAGAUGGGCAUAACAUAAUAAAUCUGUUUAACUAGGGGAAUGCAAAUUAAAUUGUGUGCGAGAACUAGGAAGGAAUUAAGAAAUAAAAGGUUAAGUCCAUGAAAUAUUCUAUUUCUAAAUAGCUACAAACCCACUACCGAUUUUUCCUACACAUGCAACCAUGCUAGAUAAGCAUGGCAUACGUACAAGUUAUAAAUUAUAUUUUCAUUACUCUAUGCAUGCAACAUUGCCAUAUCAUAAAUCCAUGUCUCUUAACUGCAAUUCAUUUUUUUAUGUGCUUCAAAAUUUUUAAUUUGUUGAGGUUGCAUUUUCUUUCCAUUAGUUUUAGAUUUUUUUUGUAGCAACUAUUUAAACAUUCCUUUUAGCAAGAUUCCUGGAGCAAUGCACCGGGCAUCGUCUAAUAUAUGUGAAUGGGCGUGCAAUUGUAAAAAGGACACAUGUAGAGCUAUUUUCAUUGUGGGGAAACAUUUCAUGAAGGUGGACAAUAUCACGGAGAUUAUAUUAGUAUGGCUACACGGAAGUAUAUAGUAAGGCUAAUCAUAAUGGGGAGUAUCAUAUAUUAUAGUAUCAUACGCAUGAUACUAUAAUAUAUGAUACUAUCUUCAUAAUGCAUAGUAUUAUAGAGUGGUAUUAUAUAUGACCUUAUUUUUAUGAUCAUGCAUGACAUAAAGUAGUAUAACAUUUAUUAUGUUACGGUGUCUAACUAUGUUACUCUAACCCUCUCUCUCUUCUUUAAUUCUCUGCCACAUCAGCAUGUUUGCUAUUCCCGAGUGCAUGAUACC
This 25505-nucleotide long non-coding RNA is filed under the name Triticum aestivum (bread wheat). RNAcentral describes it as "long non-coding RNA (TAES_LNC026001)". The stretch from base 5691 to 5805 matches the Rfam family "MIR1120/MIR1122 microRNA precursor family". Lineage: Eukaryota; Viridiplantae; Streptophyta; Magnoliopsida; Poales; Poaceae. The record is from RNAcentral.